GUGUGUAGGGGUUUGACCGACCGACCAAUGAUCAUAGAAAUGCAUGCGUCUCAAACUUACAUACCUUUUUGGGUAAUCGGGGAGGAAUUUUGAUUUCUUAUACACACACUUUUGUACAUAUUAUUUCAGAGGGUGUGAUUCCAUAUACUUGCUUUGUCGAUACAUAUUCAUAUUCAUGCCCCUCAAGUUUUGGUCAUAUCAUGAAUCACGCCAAUUAAUCGCAGAAAAAGAGAAAAUACCUAUAAUUAUAGUUUCGUAUUCAUCGUGACACUUUUAACCUAUUGGUUUUGUCCGUGUAAACUAAUUGUAUAGGAGGCAGCGUAGCAAAAUAAUUGCAAGGGUGACAAAACAUGGAGGAGAAAGUUAUAUGCAUGCAUACUUACACCACCUUAUUAUACACCGUUCAUCCAUCAAAACAUGCAAUGAAAAUCAGCCGAGGAUAAGAAAGGAGGACGACACAUUGCCAUCCUACUUACUUCAAAGAGCUCCGUGACUGCCUUCCAGUCCCACUUUUAUGGAGGUGUAGCAGGGGUACGUGCAUGGCCAGAGAGGAGAAGAAGCUGGUGCUGAUUAGAUAGAAUCGAAUCGACCCCGGCCAAGGAGUCAGAGCAAUCUUGCCUUGCACGAAAUAAAUGCUUGUUUGCUUUCUCGCUUUCUCUCUCCCUCUCGCAUGCAUGGCACUUGCUGGAUUCAGCCUGCAAUGGAAAUGGAACCGAAAUGUUCUCCCCGUCUCCACAAAAAAAGCCUGGAACUAAAACUACUACCCGGGUAUAAGUAUGUACAGUUCGACAUCGAGCGAGGUGCAUGGUCAUAUCAACGGCACGGCGUCUUAUUUGGAAGAAAGAGACGGAUAUUGGUGAACAAAUGACAUUUCGGAUUGUGACAAUUGUAAUAAUCCACAUGUUUUAGAUGAAUAUAAAGUUAUGAUAAUUGUUGAGUUGAAAAACUUGGAAAUAUUUGCAGGAAAAUAUUACAAAUGGAAAGGAUCAACUAAAGUAUGACAGCAACGAGUUAUUUAUGUGCAUAAACUUAAAGACGGAUAAAAUUCUGCAAUGGUGUUAAAUAUCGGAUUCAAGGAAAUCAGUCAAGUAUUUAGAAGACAACAAUUAUGCGACCCACUAAAUUUUUUCGUAUGAACAAAAUAUAUUCACGUUUGAAUUACAUGGAAAAGAGCGACAAAUAAGUAAAAAUCCGCUCAUUAAUAAGUAACAUAUACAAUCCUCAAAAACUACAUAAUAAUAAUGCGGGGAGACUACGCACAAAAAGGGGUAUAUUUUUUUUGGCUUUGGAAAAAAUUAAUUGUAUAUUUUUUACAAGACAUUUAUCAUCAUCAUCAUCAUCUUCUCAAUCAUAUUUACCAAAGA
This is a long non-coding RNA of Folsomia candida, 1364 nucleotides long. RefSeq lists it as uncharacterized. The record is from RefSeq and is a predicted model, not a curated record. Lineage: Eukaryota; Metazoa; Arthropoda; Collembola; Entomobryomorpha; Isotomidae. The transcript is spliced from 2 exons.